CGCAACUGCAACCACUGAGUUUGAACCAGCCAUGCCCUAAAUAGAUGAUGUUUUAAAGAGUUUUUGAUGUUUCAAAACAGAUGAAAUGUUUUUAACUUUAUUAAAAACUGUGUAACCAAUGAUAUUUUAUAGUUUUAUUUUAUGAUUGGUUGAAUAUUUUUUAAUUUAUAUUUUAAGAUAAAAAAACAAAUUUUUUAAUUGUUGUGCAUAAUUUUGAAACAGAGGGAAUAUUAGAUAUCACACUGGAAAUUGAUAAACAACAUAAGUAAUGUAUAAACGACAUGUGUCAAUCUACCUAUAAAUCUUAACAUGUGAUCAUACCUCGCUAAGUCCGAUAAAAUAAAUCGAUCACAAUAAAAGAAAUAAAAAUGAAAUAAUAUUAGAUAAAUGAGUAGGUUUUUUUGUUUUUUUUUUUUUUUGAACAUUGAAAACCACAUUCUCUCAAAUGAACUUCUUAGAGUAGAAUACAUCAAAAUAUCAUUUUGGCAACUUAAUAAAAAAAUCCAAUUUACAUUUGCAUAUAUAGUAUGUGGUUCAAUUCAUUUAUUAACAUUCCGUUUUUUAAUUAAAUUAUUAUAAUAUAAUACCGUGUAAUUUGUUGAACUUUUGUAACAACAUUAGCGACUCGAUGUUUAUUCAAAUAUAUUUAACUGAUGGUUGGAAAAUUGCCAAUCCGCACUACGUAAGUUUCAAAGGAACGUAACUAAUUC
Molecule: long non-coding RNA, 710 nt
Filed under: Brassica rapa (field mustard)
Lineage: Eukaryota; Viridiplantae; Streptophyta; Magnoliopsida; Brassicales; Brassicaceae
Description: long non-coding RNA (BRAP_LNC001294)
Source: RNAcentral